GGUCUCGUGGCCGAGCGGCUAGGCAGUGGUCUGCAAAACCAUCCACAGCGGUUCGAAUCCGCUCGAGACCU
Molecule: transfer RNA, 71 nt
Filed under: Vicingaceae bacterium
Lineage: Bacteria; Pseudomonadati; Bacteroidota; Flavobacteriia; Flavobacteriales; Vicingaceae
Description: tRNA-Cys
Rfam family: tRNA
About the family: Transfer RNA (tRNA) molecules are approximately 80 nucleotides in length. Their secondary structure includes four short double-helical elements and three loops (D, anti-codon, and T loops).
Source: RNAcentral